Molecule: ribosomal RNA, 414 nt
Filed under: Methylobacteriaceae bacterium Ellin7112
Lineage: Bacteria; Pseudomonadati; Pseudomonadota; Alphaproteobacteria; Hyphomicrobiales; Methylobacteriaceae
Description: bacterial SSU rRNA
Rfam family: Bacterial small subunit ribosomal RNA
Source: RNAcentral
CAAGUCGAACGGUAACAGGUUAAGCUGACGAGUGGCGAACGGGUGAGUAAUGUAUCGGAACGUGCCCAGUAGUGGGGAUAGCCCGGCGAAAGCCGGAUUAAUACCGCAUACGACCUACGGGUGAAAGCGGGGGAUCGCAAGACCUCGCGCUAUUGGAGCGGCCGAUAUCAGAUUAGGUAGUUGGUGAGGUAAAGGCUCACCAAGCCGACGAUCUGUAGCUGGUCUGAGAGGACGACCAGCCACACUGGGACUGAGACACGGCCCAGACUCCUACGGGAGGCAGCAGUGGGGAAUUUUGGACAAUGGACGCAAGUCUGAUCCAGCCAUGCCGCGUGCGGGAAGAAGGCCUUCGGGUUGUAAACCGCUUUUGUCAGGGAAGAAAAGUCUGGAGCUAAUAUCUCCGGACGAUGACGG